AUACGCCCCUGCCUAUUAAUUUAUAAUUAAUUUUCAGUCAUAUUUGUUUGGUAUAUUAUGUUAAUAAUUUUAAAUCUAGAUGCAACACAUUUUAUUGUGAUAAAUACAAAUGCAGCCAAUGAAACCAAUCAACUCCCUAUAGAGCCCACUGAAAACAACAUUGAAAACAAUCAGAAACAAUCUGAAAGAUAAUCUGGUAAUAAGUCAAAAACUGAUAGCAUUUUAAAAGAAUGUGAAGUAAGAAUCAAAAGACAAAAAAUAGCACUUGACCAUGAAGAAAGUAUGAAUAAGCUACAGGUGAUCUUCUGGGUCGUCACUGUCUGUAUUAUUUUGAUUGAACUGCCGAGACAAAUUAUAAAGCAAUGCGCAAGAAAGAAUAAUAUUGACUAUUGUAUUAGGUGCAUUAGCAAGACCUCUUCUAAGGCAUGGGAAUUUUCUUUUCCAAAGACCAAAUGCUCUUUCAAUGAUAUUUCUCGUUCUAAUAUGUGACUAAUUAUAUUUCUGCUCUGCUGGUGUUAUGGGAUUUCUUAGAGGUGUAAACAAGUAAGGCAUAACAUGUAUAACCUGUGAAUAUACAUUAAAAAAAAAAAAUAAUUAAUAAAUAAUUUAAAAUAAUUUAAUGUAAAAUAAAAAUUCAGAUAUUAAAGCGUUGCACUAAACAUUACUAAACCUAACUACAACAUUUUAUAAAAAUACAUACCGCCAUCUCCAAGUAAUAUCACGUUAAAUGUAGAGUUAGCAAAAUAUUGAUUCGCAUAACUACCGCUAAAUAUGAAGCUGUCAUGGUAACUACUAGGCUAUCUAACAACUAUAUCAAAAAAUUCCAUUGAUGGCCCACAAACCACCUACAUAUUAUAUAUUUUAAAUAACAAUAAUUGCCAACUUUUUCUGUAUUUAUGAUUUUAAUAUCAUUAUUUGCUGCAUACCUGAACAUUUAAAGAAAAGUAACCUUUUCUGUUUAUAAAAGCUUUUGAAUCCGGACCUCCAGGAUUUUAGAUUUUAAUGUGUGUACAAUCGAUACAUCCACCUAUCCCAGGCAUGUUUUACAUUUUGUAAAAUUUAUCUUGUAUAACCUUCCAAUCAUCUGAAUUCCUGGGAAAAUGUACAUGGUGUUUCA
This is a long non-coding RNA of Acyrthosiphon pisum (pea aphid), 1117 nucleotides long. RefSeq lists it as uncharacterized. The transcript has 3 exons. The record is from RefSeq and is a predicted model, not a curated record. NCBI's taxonomy places the organism in Eukaryota, Metazoa, Arthropoda, Insecta, Hemiptera, Aphididae.